UCUUAUUAGUCUGUUAGAGUCUUUGAAAUAAGAUGUUUCAUAUCCCACAAAAUAAUCUAGAUUUAUGGUUCUACUUAGUCCGGUUUGGUGUCGAAUAAGUUUUAAGUUGAACCAUGUAUCGAAAUUAUUAACUUUCUUUGUUUUCAAAUAUCAUGGUUUGUCAAAGUUGAGAAAUUGAUGUGUUACUACUUUAAUUCAUCUCAAGCUUUUAUAUCUUUAUCAUAAGAAUAUAUGAUUAUGGGGUCAUUACGAAUCCAGUUCGAAUCAACCUAGUCUACAUGUUUAUUCAUCACAAUCAUUUGUACGAGAGCAAAAGUUGACGAUGAAGUCGGAAAGCCCUGCUACCGACCAUUCGUUAUAAUUAAAUUAAUUUACCUUUUGAAGCCAAUUGAAUUGGGUUAGGGAGGUUUAAAACCCAUUAGGUGCAUAUUUGGAUUGG
RNAcentral lists this long non-coding RNA (439 nucleotides) under Capsicum annuum. RNAcentral describes it as "long non-coding RNA (CANN_LNC005623)". The record is from RNAcentral. Lineage: Eukaryota; Viridiplantae; Streptophyta; Magnoliopsida; Solanales; Solanaceae.